This 504-nucleotide ribosomal RNA is filed under the name Streptomyces sp. RNAcentral describes it as "bacterial SSU rRNA". It matches the Rfam family "Bacterial small subunit ribosomal RNA", at positions 72 to 591 of the family's 1533-position model. The record is from RNAcentral. Lineage: Bacteria; Bacillati; Actinomycetota; Actinomycetes; Kitasatosporales; Streptomycetaceae.
AACCGCUUUCGGGCGGGGAUUAGUGGCGAACGGGUGAGUAACACGUGGGCAAUCUGCCCUGCACUCUGGGACAAGCCCUGGAAACGGGGUCUAAUACCGGAUAUGACUGUCCAUCGCAUGGUGGAUGGUGUAAAGCUCCGGCGGUGCAGGAUGAGCCCGCGGCCUAUCAGCUUGUUGGUGAGGUAGUGGCUCACCAAGGCGACCACGGGUAGCCGGCCUGAGAGGGCGACCGGCCACACUGGGACUGAGACACGGCCCAGACUCCUACGGGAGGCAGCAGUGGGGAAUAUUGCACAAUGGGCGAAAGCCUGAUGCAGCGACGCCGCGUGAGGGAUGACGGCCUUCGGGUUGUAAACCUCUUUCAGCAGGGAAGAAGCGAAAGUGACGGUACCUGCAGAAGAAGCGCCGGCUAACUACGUGCCAGCAGCCGCGGUAAUACGUAGGGCGCAAGCGUUGUCCGGAAUUAUUGGGCGUAAAGAGCUCGUAGGCGGCUUGUCACGUCGG